Equus caballus (horse) is the source of this 9390-nucleotide non-coding RNA. NCBI's taxonomy places the organism in Eukaryota, Metazoa, Chordata, Mammalia, Perissodactyla, Equidae. The record is from RefSeq and is a predicted model, not a curated record.
GGCUUUGGGAGAAAAAGGAAAAAUAAAAUCUUAAAAAAAAAAAAGAGGAUCUACAAAAAUUUACAGCAGAAGUCAAAACAAGACAAAGAUGCCCGCUAUCAUCACUUCUAUUCAACAUUGUACUGGAGGUCCCAGCUAUACAAUAAGACGAGAAACCGAAAUCAAGAGCGUAAACAUUGGAAAGAAUGAAAUAAACUGUCAUUAUUCACAAAUUACAUAUUAAUCUAUAUAAAAAAUACAAAUGAAUGUACAAUCUUCAUAUCUUUGAGACUCAGCCUUAUUAGACAUAAGGGAAAUACAUAUCAAAACAACAAGAAUAGCAAAAUACCAAAAGCUGACAAGAAAAAGAGCAAUUAGAAUUCUUAUGCACCACAGGUAGGAAUGUAAAUUGAUAACAGGCACUAUGGAAAACUGUUUGUCAACAACUACAAAAGUGAACAACAUAUGUAUACCCUACACUCAGCAGUUCCACUGCUAGAUGUGUAUAUGUUCACCAAAGACAUGUUCUAGAAUGUUUAUAGCAUAUGUUUAUAUUAGCCCAAUACCAGAAACAGCCCAAAUAUCUUUCAACAGUAGAAUGGACAAAUGUAUUGUGGUGUAGUCACACAGUGAAACACUUUACAGGAGAAGUCCGCAAACUUUUUCUGUAAUAGUAAUAAAUAUUCUAAUAAAUAUUCAGAUAGUAAAUAUUGUAGACUUUGUAUGCCGAGAAUUUCUACUGUAACUACUUAACUCUGUCAUUGUAACAUGAAAGCAGCCAUAGACAAUACUUAAACAAAAGAGUAUGACUGUGUUUCCAAAAACCCAUUAUUUAUGGACGCUGAAAUUUGAAUUUCAUAUAAUUUUCAUGUCAUGAAUAUUAUCUUUCUUUUGAUUUUUUUUAACUGUUUAAAAAUGUAAAAAUCUUCUUUAGCUCACAGACCAUACAAAAACAGGCAAUAGGCCAGAUUUGGCUCACUUGCCAUAGUUUACCUACCCCUGCUCUAUAGCAAUAAGAAUGAACGAACACAACUAUAUACACCAAUGUGAAUUAAUCUCACAUGAUUUUGAGUGAAAAGUCUAGAUACAAAAUAGUACAUACUGGAUGAUUCCAUUUAUGUGAAGUUUACAAGUAGACAGAAUUAAUCUAUGACGUGAGAAGUCAAGUUAGAGACUACUCUUGGGGUAGUUGUCAGAGACUGCACAAGGAGGGCUUCCGGGACACUAGGAAAACAUUCCACUUCUUGGUCUGGAUGCCGUUUGCACAGUGUGUGCAGUUAGUGAAAAUUCAUGGAGUACAUUUUUGAUUUGUGCACUUUUCAGUGUGUAUGCUACUUUAAAAAAAACUUUAUUAAAUUGAGGGGCUUUAGUUAUAUGGAAUUGGAGAAGGGGGAAAUGAGGUACAUACAACGGUAAUUCUCUACCAAGAGGAAAAAAAUGACUAAAAAGGCACAACAAUCGAUGGUAGAUUUUUUUUUAAAGAAUCACUGAAAAAAAUUCCAAAACAAAAGAUGGUCUUUAAAGAUGAAAUGAAAUAUUAUUAUAAAAUGGCUGAAGUGUUUAACUCCUUCAAACACUCUGUUUCUUAAGGAAAAUAAUAUAGAUGAACUUUAUUGCUGAGGAAAUCUCCAAAAGGAGAAAAAUCAGAGGACCAUUCGACAUUUCAUUAAACCUCUAGCCUUUUCAAGUAUCUCUGAAUAUGGUCUGAUUAUUUCUCUUCUGAUGUCUUUGGAUCCUGCUAGUACUGUAGUUAUAACUAGGUCAUACUAAGUCCCAACCAUGCAGCCUUGACAAAAUAUAGCCUUUCAUUUUAUGCUAUAGACCUGAAAUUUAAUCUUCAUUUUUUAUACCCAAAGAAUAAAAAAAUGUUUUAUCCAAAAAUAUAUGUAUUUAAACUGAUAGUGACUUAAGUUCCCAAGGGUUGAUUCCAUUGUUUCAGUGGUAUCUGUGGGAGAUUUAAGAACUUGUUUGGGGGUUUGCUGCAGCAGCCAAAAAGCAGCUUUAGCCACUGGAUUCCAUGAAAUUUUAAAAUAAAUUUUCAAACUAAGAAUAUAUAGAGGACAAAGCAAGCUGUUACAUAAUUAGAAACCAAUAAAAAAAUUUUUUACUUUUUGUCUGUUUGUCACUGAGCUUUGGAAUAAGAUAAAUGUAGUUUUUUUAAAGCCAGAAUUCUAUACUUGCUGAACACUCUCUUUACAGCUCCUUGGAGUAUCUACAUAAUGUAACAUUAACUUAUUUUCCAUUACUUUUGCAAUUCACCUUCUUUGCAACAUUACUGAUAAUUUUUGUAGCCAAAUUGCUUUUGUUUAAAACCUGCUUUAUGUAUAUAUAUUCUAUUCUCUUGAAUUAUCAUCUUCAUUUACAGACCAGAAUGUAUAAACCAUUCCAGCCUGACUUCCAGAAUUUUUAGAGUUAAAAAAUAAAAAUCCUGCUGCUUGUGCCUAUGAUACCUGGUAUUAUUUAUGGGUUUUCAUAAAAAAAAGGAGGGUGAGAAGAAAAAAUACAGUACUCUCUGGCCUCGCUCUACCUUCUCCUCCUUCUAUAUUCCCCCUCUCCACAGAGGAGUUUAAUUUUAAAUGAUAAAUGUGGAAAUUAGAGACCAUCGAGAAAAUCCAAUUUGGUGAGGAGUUUUAAAAAUCCCAUAAUAAACGCAGAGUGAAAUGUAUGAUUUAAUGCAGGGCGCCAAUGGCUGCUAUUAUGGGCUAUUAGCAAAUCGGGGCUGAGAGUGAAUCUUUAUCACUUGGUGAGUGCGGGUUGGUCCUGCCUUUCCCUCUGCUAUUGAUUUGUAGCCGCUUGUCAUAAUGACACCGGGAAGCAAUGAAUGGAAGAUGUGCUUUUGAUAGGAUUCAGGGGGGUCUUGGAGGGGGGAGAGAAAAUUCAGCAAGUUUUCUAUCUCUUCUGCCUGAUUAGAUUUUUUUCUUCUUUUAAGAGCUUUCACAUUCCAAUAAAAAUGCUAAAUCAGCUCUGUACCAGAAUUGUUAAGGUGUAAAUAGCUAGUCACAUUUAAGGGAGGAAAAGAUAUAGAAAUACCAACCAGACUAUGCAAUGUUAGAUGAAUUUGACUUUAUAGGAAUGGAGUUGUGCAUGUGUAUGUGUGCGCACACGUGUGUCUGAACACAUGAGGAGCAGUGUAAAGGCGUGUCAAGGCAUAAUGCUAUAAGUACUCUUACUAUAUAAAGAUACACCUAUAUUUUGUAAGGAUGUGAUUGCUUGCAUCUAAUAUAUGAUAGAUGGUGGUCUAGCUUUAUAUGAGUGUCCAUUUUAUGAAGAGAAUACAUUCUGUGUGUGUGUGUGUGUGUGUGUGUGUGUGUGUGUGUGUGUGUGUAAUUCCAUAGAGGACACAUAGAAAGAGGUAUACUUGUGCUGAUGAUUAAGAAAAUUAGAUUCCCUAAAUCUGACUGGUCAUAACAGAGCUUUACUCAAAAUUUUCACAUACGGAAAGCAUACUGUUUGAGAACAAAGGCACUCGUAGGGUGAUCCAAUGGAAAAAAGAUUUCUGUAUAGAAAAAUCUACAUAAAAUUUUCCUUGGAAUGAGUUAGCUGUGGUUAUGUGGAAAUGGUGGGUUGGAGCCCCAGUAUAUUUCAUUCUCUCCUUUUAAGAGGAAACAAUUGCUUUCCUUCUAGGUUCUUUUAUUCCAAGGUAAUGCAAGGCAUUUGGGUCCCUGUCUGUGCAUGCAUAAGUACAUGCAGGCAGUAUGAUAUUAAAGCAGUGGAUAUGGCAAAUGUGAUCAUGGUGGGGGGGGGUAGAUUCAAUGAACAUAUUAGACCAUUUUGUUAGUAAUAUCAUGUGAUAAAACCCACCUUCUCACCUGCUUUAUUUCUCAGGCAAAUCUAGAUGAGACUUUUGGUAAGAAGAACACAAAUAUUCCCCCUGUAGUAAGUAGAAUACCACUGCUAGAUAUUUGUUAAAUGCUUAUGGCUUUAUCUUUACUAGUUGAGGAAGAAUAAAAAACAUUAAAAUACACUGUUGCACUUACGCAGGAACCAGGUUUGGAAAACAUACCAUCUGAAUCCUUAAGACAAACCUAAACACCACUACCAGCUUUUCUAGUCUAUUGAAAUACACCAUGAAAAAAUUAGAUAGCCCUGGUUUAUAGAAUUUAAUGCUAGGGAACCAAAAAGCAGCUUUGAAAAAAAUCAAAACUAUUGAUAUAAGUGUAUUUCUCACUUCUGUGAAGUAAAAAGGUCUGUGUCAUACUCAGGGUAUUAUUUUACUAAAACUGUGUGCAUGUGUAUGUUUGUGUGUGCGUGCAUGAUUUGAAUGUUUAUAGAGAUAGAUGUUUAUAGAGAUGUGGACCAAGAAGAGACAAUUUAUCUACAUUUAGAACCUUGUGCUAUAUAGGGAUGGCUUUCUGUUAGCCAUACCACCUACCUGAAAGGACCUUCUGAGAGCAUGCACCUUUUCAAACUUUGAAAACAAUGCCCUUUAACAGAGAAGGUCUCACAGGCAAUGUAAAUAACUGUCAGAGUUCAUUCACUCCCAUCCCCCAUUCAAGGACUAUGCUUAAACUGUGAUAAAUUAGAAUAUUUCCAUUUAUUAUGUGUCAUUUUUUUAAAAACUAAUUAGGGACAGAAGGAGGCAUUUCUCCAUUUUUCAGGGGGGUUUUAUUUUAUGGUAUAUAGUAAGUGAUUAUUGUUUGGUCUAUAUAUGACUGUUUCAUACUACAAUGAAUUACCUGUAUUAGAGUAAUAAUACCAUAUGUUCACAUAGCCUUUGUUCUGAUGUAAAAGCAUAAUUAAUCAUUCCAAGAGCACAAUGAGGUAGCCGAUCCCAUAUUUUAUAUAUAAGUGAUUUCUACUGUUAUCCAACCAAAAGUAAGAGUUAAAAAUAGAAGAAUUGUGAAACAUUUUUAUUUUUCUUACUCUAAGGUUGUAUAAAAUAUAAAUGCAAGACAUCUCAUUCUAUAAAUCGGGAUAAAUAUAUAUUUCAUAAGUUGGAAAAUUUUCUGAAAUAUCUGUCUUAUUAUUUGCCAGGAAAUCUAUGAAAAAUUAUAAUAAAGUUUAUUGUUGAUUUAUUAUGUCCAGUGAUUAUUUCCUCUUUCAAAGGGACAGGGUGAACAUUUUCCUGCUAUUGAACUUACCUGUUUGGGGCUUAUAAGUAGGAUAUAAAAAUUAUCAAUAAUUUUCCUGAUUGAAAUUAACUUGACUAAAUAUAUGAAAUGAGAUUAUAGUUGUGACAAAGUACUUUCACAUAUAUUAAGUGCUGGUAUCAUCGUUAUGGUUGCUUUUUGUUAUAGUUCAACAACAUAGAAAUAAGGGGUAGAAGAAAAAUAGCCAAGUAUUUACAUAUAUAAACAGAAUGAGGGAAGGAAGAAACUCUAGACAAGAAUAAAUCACUGUUUUGUGUAAAUAGAAGACUAAAAGGCAAAUAAGAUAGAAGGGGAAUUAGAAAUUCCUGGACAUAAAAAUAGUAACAAAUAACAGGUAAUAAAAAUAGUGCAUUGAAGAGACCAUCAAGCUAAAUGGAAAUGAAGAUGUUGAGCAAAAUUUAACCUAAUGUUUUAUAUAUCUAUUAUCUUCUUAAGCUUUUGUUGGGUAGCAAAAGAACAUCAUCUUUUCCGAAAGUGUUCACAGCACAGUAAAAUUUCUCUAAGCUCUGUACGUUAUCACACUAAUCCUCGCAUUAUCAACACCCCUGUGCCGUUUCUGGCAAGAGUUACUGCCCCUGUUUGAUGGAGAAGCUGAAUCACAGUGAAGAUCACUGACUUUGUCAAGGUCAAUGGUGAGUCAGGGAUGGAAAUAGAACCCAGAGUUUUUUAUACCCAUUUCUCUCUCUACUGUUGUCAUUGAUUUGCUAAAGCCCCUCUUCUAUUUGGACACCAUUCAAGGAUUUAAAUAACACAAGUACUUGAAGGCCAUAUUUCAAGGAUAUUUCAUCUCUAAACGUUGUCCUAUUCUGGAAACAUUAGGACAUGUCACCUUUUAUUUGUACCUCUUAUAUUUUUGGAGUGGUUUUAACAUAUUUUGUUUAAUCACUUUUUCAUGCAUUGUUUAAUGUGUACAAUGCAGACUAAUGUACCUCCCCCCACAAAAGAAAAACUAAACUAGAAAAUAAAAUAAAACUUAGAUCCGUGAAUUCUAAUUCUUCUGUUAGUGUUCUUAGUUUCCUCAUUUAUCAGAACACAACUUCAAAGAUCUUAUAUUUACCCAUGUUCUGGGCCAAGUGUCUGACUGAUCCUCACUUUAAUUAUUAAAGAGAAUGACAGCAAUACAUAAACAUGCAUACAUACACAAAUAUAUCACACACACAUAUACAUGCGUUAACAUGCUUAUUAGUCCUUUUUGAGGAUUUGGCUUUUCCUAAUCUUUCUCAUGCUCUGGCUUUAAUUCAUUGUGCAUAGGCUCUUUUAAAAGGGAAAAAAUUACACCCAAGAUAAAGUGGUAGUUUAUGGAGUUACCGGUCUCGUGGUUCAAAUUCCUUGGCGUAUAUUAAGCAAUGAAAACAUAAUUUCCUUCACCCCUUUAAAUUUCUUUGUGCUAGUGUCAAAACUGUUUAAGGGAAUAUAUUACUAGUAUUUAAUGCUGCCUUUUGGAAUAUCUCAGGUUUUCUUCUUCCUGGAAUUUAAAACACACCUUAUAGUCAGGUAAUUUGUUUUUCUAUGUUAUCCCUUUUGGAUUUUGAUUAAGCAUGAACAAAAUUUUUACUAUAUGUUACCAGAAAUAAAAAGUUCAACACAAAUAAGUUUUUAAAAAAUUUUCUUAGGAUACCACCAGCCUGAGUGGAUAAUUUUCCAGAGAUUGAUAGGUGAGAGAGGCGAUUAUUGUCACUGCUAACUUUUUCCUGAGAAAAAGAGUGCUGUUUUUCUAGGUACUAAGAAGCACACUAAAAUUUUUCCAAAUUAUUUUCUUUAAAAACUAGCCUUUCAACAAAAGCAUGUUAUUUUAAAAAUAGAUGUACCUCAUUUCAUAAAAGUUAAAAAGAAAACUUCACUCUUUAAUAUAUUGUGAUAAUCUUACUUAGAUGGCAUUACAAGCCAGAAAAUUGUUCUAAAGCAUCACUUAUCUUUCUCUCUUGGCUAAGGUUCCAAAGGAAACCUCAAGUCCGGUAUAAGCAAAACAAUUCAUGAACAAAAUGGCUGUGAGCACAUUUCAUUUGCAAGACAGCACUAGAGGGCGCUCUUCAGCAGGUCUCAAGAUUAAGAAGCAAUAUCCUGAGAUACAUCUUUCUCUGAUAGAAAUUUUGUCUUGGGAAAAGCUUUGACCAGAUCGUAGUGACAGAAAUGAGAGGCUGGGCCAGUCUUUGGCGCCUGCCCUUGGCUCAGCGCCCGGUGCCAACAGAACACCUUUCAGGAUCCACAGCAACGCAGACAACGAGUCCAGGAUCCCGGCCUCUGCUUGGAACGGAACAGUGUCAUGGCGGAGACGACGGCCUUUGUCUUGCUGGGUGUGAAAGCAUCCGCUUUGCAGGCUCCACUGCGGCAGAAUCAAGUUUAAAGGAAAAAGUGAUUAAAGUCAGCUUUGUGCCUCUUUGGUGUGGAAGACCCCCAAACCCCAAGUAGCCGAGUCCCUGGGUCCGAGGAAGGGCUCAUAGUUGGAGCAGCCUAGGCUGUAAUCCUGGCACUUGCGCCUUCGGUUGCUGCUUGCUGUUCGCUCCUGGGGGUCUGGAUAAUCUCCCUUGGCUUUACCGCACUGUCUGGCCCGCAUACAGGGCCCCCGUAACAUAUACCCGCUGCUGCUAUCGCACGAAACUGUGGCGUUGCCCCUGAAUGGAUGGCACUGUGCCAACUCUUCUGCCAUCCGCCCUUGCAGCUUUUUUCUUUCCUGCCUCCCUCCCCUUCUUCUCCUCCUCCUCCCGUCGACUUGACGUUAAUUAACACACGGGUUAAUUGAUUUUAAAAGCCGAAGAAUUACAGUUAACUUUUCCCACAGGGUACAGACGCCAGCCGCUUGGCACACUCUGCCUUUCGCACUGGUGCAGGGGGGCAGGGAGAGCCCGCAGCAAACCUAGCAACUGCUGAGGGAACGUUGCCUGCUUAUUGGAGUAGCGCCGAUAGAAGUCGACGUGGCACUGCCUCGUCCUUACCGUAUGGAGAGCCAUUCUAUAUUUUGUUAAAUAAUCAAAGCACAACCCUGUCUUUCUUCUUCUCCCUUCCUCGUUCAAAACAGGAAAACCCUUCAGAAGUUCUUAUGGGGAAAAAAUAUCCCUCCCCCAGACUAUUUAUCUCAUCCAUAAUAUGCUUUUUUUCCAAUAAGAAGAAAAUACGUGAUGCCUGUUUUUUUUUCAUUACAAGAAGGAAAGCUACUCUUUCCCUAAACAUCACAGGCAAAGAAGAUUUUUUUAAAGAAAAAGUUCCAUAAAGUUUCUUUCUCUAUAUCUCAGUAUUUUGUUUUGUUUCUAUUCCUCUUGACUCAGAUGGGUUAUUUAUGGUGAAAGAUUUCAGUAAGAAAGUAGGUACAUUGUAAUUAAGAACAAAAUUCAUAUGAAAGCUCUUUGUUUUUUUUGUUUAUAUGUGUGUAGAUUUUUGCUUUCUGUCCCCUUCACCCCAAUCCGCUGUAGAAAAUGAAAGCAAUUGAUAUUGUAGUUGGGAAGGAGACAGGCAAGGCUGGGAACUUGAUGCUUUCACCUUUUCAUGCUUUCAUUUUAUUUCAUUUUGUUUUUUAAAAGCAUGCAGCAAGUGAAGCGACAAGAGGAAUCCAUUAUGCAAAUCAUGUCACUUUGCAUAAUGUCUCAUGACUGGAAUAUGCAAAUGAGCUGUAUAAUUUAUGAGUGCCAGUGUCUGUCUAAAAGUGUUUCACAUAAUUUACAAAGUGAGCCUGAGAGACAUGGGGAAGGCAGCUCUUCCAACUCCAUUGCCAGGAAAGCUCUGUAUUUUCUUACAAGUGACUCCCUAGUAAUAUUGUCAAGUGCUGUUUAAAAGGAAUUAAGGUUCCAAAUGUUCAUGAAAGAGGAAGAUUUUCCUCUCACUCCUCACUCUAAUUCUUUGCCUAAAAGUUUAAAUGAAACUAUUAGACUCUAAAGCAUUAACUUUUAGAUUCAAUUUCGAAAAGAAAAGUUGAGCCAAACUUGCUUUUUGUAUAUGGAUUUUCCUUUCUAAAGCAAGAAAUCUUAGGAAAACAGACACCUUAUCCAUUUGUCUGGAUUUAUGAAGGCAAAAAAAAAUGGGACUUCUCACUUUAGCUGGUUUUGCAUGCCAUACUGUGUGCAAUAUUUUAUAAAUUUUAGUCUCUUGGAUGUAUUGGAUAUGUAAUAUGGAAGACUGAUGCAUUCAAUAUUCUUCUGAACGUAUAAUUCUGCUUUCAGAGAAGUCUUCAAAAGAGAAAUGCCAUUCAAUAAAAACCAAGUUUUAGUUAAGUCAGCUUAGUUGGCUAUUCCAUGUCUCAAUUUGGUAUCGAGUAAGUGAUUCUGAACCUUUUGAGAAGUUAUAACAUCUUUGAUAAUCUGACCUAAUCUAGCCUUUUGUUUUUUAUUUC